RNAcentral lists this ribosomal RNA (880 nucleotides) under uncultured archaeon. RNAcentral describes it as "bacterial SSU rRNA". It matches the Rfam family "Archaeal small subunit ribosomal RNA", at positions 23 to 879 of the family's 1478-position model. The record is from RNAcentral.
CACACUGCUAUCGGGAUAGGACUAAGACAUGCUAGUCGUGCGCUUCCUAGCCAAUUUGGGAGCGCGGCGCACAGCUCAGUAACACGUGGCUAAUCUGCCCUUGGGACAAGAACAACCCCGGGAAACUGGGGCUAAUUCUAGAUAGGUGAAGAACUCUGGAAUGAGUCUUCGCUUAAAAGAGGCUGGGGUUAUGCUCUCCAGUUUCGCCCAAGGAUGAGGCCGCGGCCGAUCAGGUUGUUGGUGAGGUAAUGGCUCACCAAGCCUUUUACCGGUGCGGGCCGUGAGAGCGGGAGCCCGGAGAUGGGCACUUAGACAAGGGCCCAGGCCCUACGGGGCGCAGCAGUCGCGAAAACUUUGCAAUAAGCGAAAGCUUGACAGGGCUAUCCCGAGUGCCAUCCGCUGAGGAAGGCUUUUACCCAGUCUAGAACGCUGGGGGAAUAAGGAGAGGGCAAGUCUGGUGUCAGCCGCCGCGGUAAUACCAGCUCUCCGAGUGGUGUGGAUGUUUAUUGGGCCUAAAGCAUCCGUAGCUGGCCAGGUGAGUCCCCUGUUAAAUCCACCGAAUUAAUCGUUGGAUUGCGGGGGAUACUGCUUGGCUAGGGGACGAGAGAGGCAGACGGUAUUUCCGGGGUAGGGGUGAAAUCCUAUAAUCCCGGGAAGACCACCAGUGGCGAAGGCUGUCUGCUAGAACGCGCCCGACGGUGAGGGAUGAAAGCUGGGGGAGCGAACCGGAUUAGAUACCCGGGUAGUCCCAGCUGUAAACGAUGCAGACUAGGUGUUUGGACGGCCACGUGCCGUUCUAGUGCCGCAGGAAGCUGUUAAGUCUGCCGCCUGGGGAGUACGAUCGCAAGAUUGAAACUUAAAGGAAUUGGCGGGGGAGCAC